CCUGAACGCUGGCGGCGUGGCUAAGACAUGCAAGUCGCACGGUGUAGCAAUACACAGUGGCGAACGGGUGAGUAAAGAAUCGCUAACGUACCCCGACUCUGGGAUAGCUAUCCGAAAGGGUAGGUAAUACCAGAUGACAUAUUCCGCUCGCAUGAGUGGGAUCUACAAAGGUCCGCCGGUCUGGGAGCGGGCGAUUUCGUAUCAGCUAGUUGGUGAGGAACGGCUCACCAAGGCGACGACGCGUAGCCGGACCUGAGAGGUUGGCCGGCCACAUUGGGAC
Molecule: ribosomal RNA, 280 nt
Filed under: uncultured bacterium
Lineage: Bacteria
Description: partial 16S ribosomal RNA
Rfam family: Bacterial small subunit ribosomal RNA
Source: RNAcentral